This 31-nucleotide non-coding RNA is filed under the name Homo sapiens (human). Lineage: Eukaryota; Metazoa; Chordata; Mammalia; Primates; Hominidae. The record is from RNAcentral.
UGGCCUCACUGAUGGGCACGUUCUUCCCAGA